UUUCCAUCUUCUUAAUGAGUGCAAGAGAAAAAAAUUGCAAUUAAUCGUGUUUGCAUUUGAUGACGGUGUGGGUUUUUGUUAACAUUUCUAGUAUAGGGAAGUGAAAGACUAGUAUUUGAGACUUGUACUGUUGUUCACAAUCUAUAAUUUAUGGGGUGUAAUAAA
Long non-coding RNA from Hibiscus syriacus, 165 nucleotides. RefSeq lists it as uncharacterized. NCBI's taxonomy places the organism in Eukaryota, Viridiplantae, Streptophyta, Magnoliopsida, Malvales, Malvaceae. The transcript has 5 exons. The record is from RefSeq and is a predicted model, not a curated record.